RNAcentral lists this ribosomal RNA (468 nucleotides) under uncultured bacterium. Its description in RNAcentral is "partial 16S ribosomal RNA". It matches the Rfam family "Bacterial small subunit ribosomal RNA", at positions 28 to 507 of the family's 1533-position model. The record is from RNAcentral.
GACGAACGCUGGCGGCGUGCUUAACACAUGCAAGUCGAACGGAAAGGCCCUGCUUUUGUGGGGUGCUCGAGUGGCGAACGGGUGAGUAACACGUGAGUAACCUGCCCUGGACUGUGGGAUAACUUCAGGAAACUGGGGCUAAUACCGGCUAGGAGCUCCUGCUGCAUGGUGGGGGUUGGAAAGUUUCGGCGGUGGGGGAUGGACUCGCGGCUUAUCAGCUUGUUGGUGGGGUAGUGGCUUACCAAGGCUUUGACGGGUAGCCGGCCUGAGAGGGUGACCGGCCACAUUGGGACUGCGAGACGGACCAGACUCCUACGGGAGGCAGCAGUGGGGAAUAUUGCACAAUGGGCGGAAGCCUGAUGCAGCAACGCCGCGUGCGGGAUGACGGCCUUCGGGUUGUAAACCGCUUUCGCCUGUGACGAAGCGUGAGUGACGGUAAUGGGUAAAGAAGCACCGGCUAACUACGUG